This 759-nucleotide unclassified non-coding RNA is filed under the name Bombus terrestris (buff-tailed bumblebee). RNAcentral's name for it is "misc RNA ENSBTSG00005034761.1". Lineage: Eukaryota; Metazoa; Arthropoda; Insecta; Hymenoptera; Apidae. The record is from RNAcentral.
UAUACAGUAUUAUCUGCGUGAUGUAGUAGUAAAUAUCCAUGUAUAUGUUAAAUUUUGUCAUUGUUGGUAACUUUAAGCUUACAAUAGCAGGUUGUCAUGGAUAUGCGUUUAUUUCUCUCACACACACAAUGUUCAGUUUUUGGUACAUGUGCAUAUAAAGAAAUGCUAGUAAAUAACAUUUUUAACUCCAUGUUAAUCGUCACGUGUGCUGUCACACGGUAGAUGACGUCUUUCGUUACUGCAUAGGUUAGUUUCAUCUUUUUUUUCACUUGUCAGUUUGACAGUCUAUGAGAUAUGCGGAUUAUUCGCAUGAAAAUAAAUCUUGCAAUUCCGACUUAGAAAUUAAGAUAUAAAAAAAUAUAAUUCAGUUGAGGAAUGCUUGCAAAAAAUUUUGUUUAUAUUUUGUUCUUAGUAGUUAAAAAAAAUAUACGAAAUAACUUUAACCCCAAUUACAAAAAAAGUUUAUGAAAAACAUUCAGUUACUCGAGUGUCGAUGUAAAUAUAUGUAUAGAUACUAGCUCUACAUUGGUUCUAGCUAGUAAUAUAAAAAAAUUACUAUAAAAAUCAAAAUGUAAAGAUGAUAACAUUAUAUUAUGUUUUUGUGAUAUAUAUUUCAUGUUACACAUUAUUGAUAUAACAGAAUAUAAUUUGAUUAGUAUAAUGAAUUUUUAAGUUGAUAUUUGAUUGAUAUUUAAUUUCAUAAAUUUUUUUAAAAGAUUUUCUAAAACUUCUGUAGUUAUUACACAUACGUAAUAUAAU